AGACCAUGAUGAGGGCAACACUUGAACAGAUCUUUAUAUCUUUCCUAGGCUUUAUACAAUGAUUCAGCAUCUAAUUGCAUGAACAAUGUGAUAUCAUUCCUUAUCUU
This 107-nucleotide small nucleolar RNA is filed under the name Theobroma cacao (cacao). RNAcentral's name for it is "Plant small nucleolar RNA R71". It matches the Rfam family "Plant small nucleolar RNA R71". From Rfam's summary of the family: R71 is a member of the C/D box family of snoRNAs containing the C (UGAUGA) and D (CUGA) box motifs. Multiple nearly identical copies of this snoRNA have been identified in Arabidopsis, and it is thought to function as a 2'-O-ribose methylation guide for 18S ribosomal RNA. Lineage: Eukaryota; Viridiplantae; Streptophyta; Magnoliopsida; Malvales; Malvaceae. The record is from Rfam by way of RNAcentral.